UGGAAGAUCACUUGAGCCCAGGAGUUCGACACCACCCUGGGCAACAUUGGCUUCUCAACCUCUGAGUUUGGUUCCCCUGUGAUUCUAUAAUCUACUCCAUAUGCAUUCAACAAAACUCGUGUGAGUCAAUUGCCCAGGCUGGAGUACAGUGGCUAUUCACAGGCACCAUCCCACUACUGAUCAGCACGGGAGUUUUGACCUGCUCUGUUUCCAACCUUGGCCAGUUUACCCCUUCUUAGGCAAUCUGGUGGUUCCCUGCUCCCGGGAGGUCAUCAUAUUGAUGCUGAACUUAGCGCAGACGCCCAGGCAACAUAGUGCACUGCAGCCCAGAACUCCUGGCCUCAAGCGAUCCUCCUGCCUCAGCCUCCUGAGUAGCUGGGACUACAGGCACGCGCCACCACACCUGGCCAGUUUACUAGUUUCUAACAAAGCUAAACAUUGUCUUAACGUAUAAUCUAACAGUCACACUCUUAGGUAUUUACUCAAACAAGUUGAAAACUUAUGCCCAAACAAAAACCUGCACACAGAUGUUUAUCAUGGUUUUUAAUUGAUUAUACUGCAAAAGCCCUUUUCCAAAUAAGGUCACAUACACAGAUUCCAAGGGUGAAAGCUUCAGCAUAUCUUUCUGGAGGAUACAAGUCAAUCCUUAAGAAUAGGUUAAUGGGCCAGGUGUGGUGGCUCACACCCGUAAUCCCAGCACUUUGGGAGGCCGAGACAGGCAGAUCACCUAAGGUCAGGAGUUUGAGACCAGCCUGGCCAACAUGGCAAAACCCUGUCUCUAUUAAAAAUAAAAAAUUAGCUAGGCAUGGUGGCACACACCAAUAAUCUCAGCU
Molecule: long non-coding RNA, 833 nt
Filed under: Homo sapiens (human)
Lineage: Eukaryota; Metazoa; Chordata; Mammalia; Primates; Hominidae
Description: non-protein coding lnc-YWHAB-1:1
Source: RNAcentral